GGGGGGAUAAAAGAAAAUGAUAAUUAAACGCGAGUUCUCCAAACGAUUGGUACGAAGGCUUACGGACUACUGAGGGCGGCUGCUUCACGACGCUGGAGUCACGACGGCGGCGGCACGCGCAACUCUCACGUACAGAAUUUUUCUGCUUUAUCUUCUUCGUGCUUCGUAGUGAUUCUAAUAAUGCUAAAAUUCCCGUCGCCCACACGUACUGACAGAUACAACAGAUCUACGAGCAGUGAUGUCAUCAUACACGCUACUACGAAACAGAAUUAUCAAACACUCGCGGCUGCUCAACCCCCCCGCAGUAACAACAAACAUUCCAAAAUAUGCACGAAGCUUGUAUCGUUUCAAAAUUAUUAAUUUAUGAAAGUGCUGAUUAAGGAUGCGGAAUUUGCAAUAUAAACAGAUUUGACAUCGUCUUCAUUCAAGGUGCUCAACGCUCUUCAACAUUCCGAUGUGGUGACGAAUAGUCUGCAAUUUAUCGACUAGUUUUUUUUUAAAACAUGUUGAUAGGUAACAUAAUUACCUGAAUCGCUAACGUAUUAUGCCGAACAUAAUUAAAUAAAAAUC
Molecule: long non-coding RNA, 570 nt
Filed under: Neodiprion pinetum (white pine sawfly)
Lineage: Eukaryota; Metazoa; Arthropoda; Insecta; Hymenoptera; Diprionidae
Description: uncharacterized LOC124224675, transcript variant X3
Source: RNAcentral